RNAcentral lists this long non-coding RNA (474 nucleotides) under Fukomys damarensis (Damara mole-rat). RNAcentral's name for it is "lncRNA (ENSFDAG00000023417.1)". Lineage: Eukaryota; Metazoa; Chordata; Mammalia; Rodentia; Bathyergidae. The record is from RNAcentral.
AUGUUUUCCAUAAUAUACAUUUAAGAGUCAUUGAUACGUGGAUCAGACAUUUUAAAUGUACUCCCAGCUUCUUAUCACUGCUCCAAGGAGAGGUAUUGGCAGAAAAAACAUUGCACAGUCAGGAGAAAGUCUUCCUGUUGGCCCUGCAUGUAUGAUACUUGGGUCUUGCAUGCUCCUUGGACAGGUUCUGGAGAUUGUCUUCUUAUGGCAGUGGCAAAAGCUUAGAAGAGUGGACCCAGAGUAAGGUAACACAUCUCCACCCUAGUCCUGUGGCUUCCCAUUGACUGUGGACUUGGCCUUUAAACAUCCCAUCCUGGGUUGUGCCUGCUCUUUCACUUGAGUUCUGGAUAAGAAGAUAAGUAGAGCUCAACUGUGAACAACCUACUCCAGCAGACACAUUGACCUGCAGACACAUUGACAAAAAGUAAAUGUUUGUUAUUCAGAAUACUUAGAUGUGUUAAUUAUUUGUUAGCA